UACGUAGGGGGCGAGCGUUGUCCGGAAUUACUGGGCGUAAAGGGUGCGUAGGCGGCCUAUUAAGUUGUGUGUGAAAGACUGGGGCUUAACCCCAGGGUUGCAUGCAAAACUGGUAGGCUUGAGUGCAGGAGAGGAGAGUGGAAUUCCCGGUGUAGCGGUGGAAUGCGUAGAUAUCGGGAGGAACACCAGUGGCGAAGGCGACUCUCUGGACUGUAACUGACGCUGAGGCACGAAAGCUGGGGGAGCAAACAGG
Molecule: ribosomal RNA, 253 nt
Filed under: uncultured bacterium
Lineage: Bacteria
Description: partial 16S ribosomal RNA
Rfam family: Bacterial small subunit ribosomal RNA
Source: RNAcentral